UACGUAGGGAGCAAGCGUUGUCCGGAAUCAUUGGGCGUAAAGAGCGUGUAGGCGGCCUGAUAAGUCGGCUGUGAAAGUCAAGGGCUCAACCCUUGAAUGCCGGCCGAUACUGUCAGGCUAGAGUCCGGAAGAGGCGAGUGGAAUUCCUGGUGUAGCGGUGAAAUGCGCAGAUAUCAGGAGGAACACCUAUGGCGAAGGCGGCUCUCUGGUACGUGACUGACGCUGAGACGCGAAAGCGUGGGGAGCAAACAGG
This 253-nucleotide ribosomal RNA is filed under the name uncultured bacterium. RNAcentral describes it as "partial 16S ribosomal RNA". It matches the Rfam family "Bacterial small subunit ribosomal RNA", at positions 524 to 776 of the family's 1533-position model. The record is from RNAcentral.